This is a long non-coding RNA of Sebastes umbrosus (honeycomb rockfish), 2045 nucleotides long. RefSeq lists it as uncharacterized. NCBI's taxonomy places the organism in Eukaryota, Metazoa, Chordata, Actinopteri, Perciformes, Sebastidae. The transcript is spliced from 2 exons. The record is from RefSeq and is a predicted model, not a curated record.
CACACACACACACACACACACACACACACACACACACACACACACACACACACACACACACACACACACGCUUGGAUCUGCUCAUGUGACAACAUCACACAACAUCCUCCUGUCAUCCUUAAUGACAGCAAGUGAAGGGGUGACAUUUGGAGAUGAAGGACGUGCGCGUAUGUGCGCCUGAAUGUCACCGAGGAGAUUAUGUGCAUGUGUGAAUGCUAUAAAUGUAAACCAUAUUACGUGUGUGUCGAUCCCAGAGGGGGUUUUGUGGUAUGCAGGCGGUGCUUCAUCUUUCAUGAAAACGUCAAUAAGGAGGAUGUGGGUUCAUGUCAAUGAAUAUUCAUCAAUGACACAGAAAGGUUGUGUGACUUUAGAAAAGACAUAAAAACAAAUCAACCUGGAAGAAAAACAGAGUGUCUCUGAGGAUCUUAUCUAGAGCUUUCACAUUUUUGCUUAAUAAAUAACCUGAACAAUUAUUAAAUUAACAAAUCUGUUGUUAUUCAUUUUCUGUCCAUCGAAUAAUCAAUUAAUCGAAUAAUAAUUUUAGCAUUAGUGCAAUCCAUUAUAGAACAGUGCAAGCCAAACAAAAUAGUGGCUAGUAAAAAUUAAAUUAAGGGUGCUUCAAUCAAUCGGCCACAUUGUUAGCGGCCGAUAUUCGUUCUAAAUAGUUUGAUCGUUGGUCUCUGUAAAGGGCGAUCAGAAGAGCUGAUCAGAUGUCGAAAAACACAGACAAACAAUUUCUCUACGCGCAGCUAAAAUGGCCAAAGUUGAGAGUGGUAUCUCUAAGACCCUGAUCACACAGAGCGUGUUUUAGCAGCCUGGGGCGGCUUUUUGAAAUUGUUUUCAAUGAGAUUGAAGCCCUUUGCACACUGCUUUUGCGUUGCUGAGCGCCUCACGUUUUUCCGCUCUAUGCACUUUGCGUUUUUACAGGAGCGCUCUGAACGCCUUGAGUUGAAGAAAAUUCAACCCAGAGCGGAAAAGCGCUCGUCAUUAGCAUUUUUUUUGUCACUGUGGUGACUUUUGCUGGAUACCUGGAGCUUUAUGACUUUAACAACCGUAGUUACAAUGAUAUGAACAGAAAAAAACAUGAGGCAAAUCAGUGCGGUACCUGACAUUUUGGGAUUCCUGAUAAGCCGAGGAUCCGGCUCUGUGGUCCUGCGUUAUGAAGCCGAGUCCCCGACUCAGCAGCCCACACUGACUCAGCCUUCUCUGGAGAAAGCUCCACCCUGUUGAAAUGUGAUGUGUAUGAAUCUGGCCUCCAUCCACUACCUGUGUGUGUGUGUGUGUGUGUGUGUGUGUGUGUGUAUCGGCCUACAUCCUCUGUGUUUGGGUGCCUGAGUAACUCUGUGAGAGCAGCAAUGGGACCGACUGUAAUUUACUCUGAGGGAGUGACUGUGUGUACGUGUGAGUGGCAGACCGCACUCAGAAGAUCAUUCAUUUUUAACAAGGUGCUUUGCAAAUGCAGGUCAUGCACUCUUAGCUUAGGAAAAGAGGGCUUGGUGUGUAUGUGAUACGAUUAAAAGGGCAGAAUGGAUUUGUUUAUAUGCGUUUUCCCCCCAUUUGCCUUAUAAGCGAAGAGCUUCUGGAGGUUUCUCUGAGAGCGUCUGCUGCAGUCUCCUCUCCUCUAACUCAUAGCUGCCUCUGUCCUCUCCUCUUCUGCUCUCUGCCCUGCUGUUGUACACUUUCUGCCUCCUUCCUGACUCCUCCUUUAUUCUCUCCCUCUCCACCACCACCAACCCCCCCACCUCUGAUCCCCUCUGCAAUUACCGCAACACUCCGAGACAGGGGAAAUGGGUUGCCUGGCAACAGGAUGCAGCUGGACCAAUAGCAUCCCCCCAAAUGAGUUGACUGUAAUGUAUUUAAACAGAAGGGAGAGAACAAGAGACAGGGAGGAGGGCUUGGUACUGAUGGUGAGAGAACAGAAAAGGGGAAAGGGAGAGCACAAAGAAAAGAUAAAAUAGAUAGAAUAAAUAAAGAUAGCAGAAUCUACAGAUGGAAAAAAUGACCUCCUAGAGAGGAUGGAGGUUUUCUAAUAGAUUUGUUUCUUU